GGCAAUGAGUGGACCUGCGGCUUAUUUGACUCAACACGGGAAAACUCACCGGGACAAGAUACAUGUAUGAAGGACAGACUGCGUGAUCUUUCCCAAUAAUGUAAGUGGUGGUGCAUGGCCGUUCUUAGUUCGUGGAUUGAUCUGUCUGGUUGAUUCCGAUAACGAGCGAGACCUUAGCAAUCUUAAUAGGGGUGACCCAGCCAGGCUCGGCAUCUCCUACUCUGGCUGCAGGCCUGUUUCUUUUUUCCUGGACUCUUACUCCUGGGCUCUCGGGCCUGGGGGUAGGGGCCCGGGGGAAGAGGGCAGAACCGGGCUGGAAGUGGGGGUGCCAGGACAGCUGACACCUAUGAACGACAGUUUCUUCUUAGAUGGAUCGAGGCCGAAGAGGUAUCUGAAAUAAGGCAAUAACAGGUCAGUGAUGCCCUUAGAUGUUCCGGGCCGCACGCGCGUUACAAUGGCAGGUAAAGCAGGCGGCGCCGACAGUUCUGUCUCGAAAAAAGACAGGGCUUCGGCCUAUCCCAGUGCCUAAGGGCGUUCUGGCAACCCUUAGGGCCUGCCUCGACUGGGAUAGUCUAUUGUAAUUAUUGGUCUUAAACGAGGAAUUUUUAGUAUUCGCUGGUCAUUAGCCCGCGACGAAUCAGUCCCUGCCCUUUGUACACACCGCCCGUCGGC
RNAcentral lists this ribosomal RNA (672 nucleotides) under Stemonitopsis microspora. RNAcentral's name for it is "SSU rRNA". It matches the Rfam family "Eukaryotic small subunit ribosomal RNA", at positions 1168 to 1680 of the family's 1831-position model. Lineage: Eukaryota; Evosea; Eumycetozoa; Stemonitida; Stemonitidae. The record is from RNAcentral.